This is a non-coding RNA of Xyrichtys novacula (pearly razorfish), 4767 nucleotides long. The record is from the annotation of a GenBank genome assembly. NCBI's taxonomy places the organism in Eukaryota, Metazoa, Chordata, Actinopteri, Labriformes, Labridae.
GUCCUGGAUCACUAUUUUCACUGUCACGUUGCUGCUGAGUGGAGGGGAGCCUCCAUCCUGAGCUUUGACUACCAGCUGAAGAUAUUUGAUUUGCUCAUAAUCAAGAGAACGAACUGCGCUGAGAACUCCAGUUUCAGAGUUUAGACUCACAUAAGUCGAGACUGGACUACCACUGACCUGUGUAUCCUCUAAAAUAUACGAGAUUCUUGCAUUUUGGCCCCAAUCUGAGUCUCUCGCGCUGACAGUAAAUAUGGAUACUCCAGGUGGAUUAUUUUCUGUGAUGUAAGCAGAGUAAAUUGUUUUGUCAAAUAAUGGCGCGUUGUCAUUUACGUCAGAAAUCUUUAGGUGCAAUUUUGUGGAGGUGGAAAGAGGCGGAGAACCGAAAUCAGUGGCUGUUAUUGUGAUGUUAUAUUCUGAGACAGAUUCUCUAUCAAAAUGUUGAUCUGAGAUCAAAUUAUAAUAGUUUGUCAGAGAUGAUUCAAUCUUGAAAGGCAGUUUUCCCUCGAUCGAACAUUUUAUUUGUCCAUUUUUAUCAGAAUCCGCAUCUUUAAUGUUUAAAACAGCAAUUGUGGUACCGACAAGGGCAUCUUCAGAUACAGUGCUAGAAAAAGACAUAAUGUUUAUCACUGGAGCAUUGUCAUUAACAUCAAAAACAUCAAAUAUAACUUUACUUGUUCCUGUUAAUCCACCUUGAUCCCUAGCCUCCACCCUCACCUCAUAUUUUCUGUCUUUUUCAUAAUCUAGGGGACCAUUUACAGAUAUAGUGCCUGUUUUUUCAUCAAUGCUAAACAAAUCUUCCGCACUACCUUUAGUAUUAGAUAAACUGUAACUGAUGACUCCAUUAGAACCACUAUCAGCGUCUGUGGCGUUUACUGUUAUAACUCUCGUGCCCUUCAGUGUGUUCUCAAACACAGAGGCUUUAUACACGGAUUGGUUAAAAACUGGAGCGUUGUCGUUCGCAUCUAAGACAGUGAUUUCUAUAUUUACUGUACCAGAUCUCUGUGGUGUUCCUCCGUCGACUGCGAUCAGUUUCAGAGACAAGUGUGGAUGUCGCUCUCGGUCUAAAGGCUUCUGGAGCACCAUUUCUACAUAUUUACUUCCGUCGGGAUUUGCAUGCUGCUUUAAUAUAAAAUUGUCGUUGGCUGAUAAAAUAUAAUCUUGCAAGGCGUUUUGUCCAACAUCUAAAUCUUCCGCACUCUGCAGGGGAAACUGUACUCCUACCACCGCUGAUUCACUUAUCUCGAGGCGGAUAGGCUUGUCAAUUUUUGGGAAAACGGGAGCGUGAUCGUUUAUGUCUAAAACCUCGAUAGUUAUUCGAUGCAGUUCAAUGGGAUUCUCUAAAAUCAUCUCAAAGCUGAAGCUACACGGAGUCGUGUCUCCACAGAGCUGCUCUCGGUCAAUUCUCUCAUUCACGACCAGAGUCCCUUUGUCUGUCUUCAGCUCGGUGUACUGGAUGUUUUCUCCACUCACGAUACGGGCCCGCCCUGCACGGAGCCUUCUCAGAUCCAAACCAAGAUCUUGAGCCACAUUACCGAUAACAGAGCCUUUCUUCAUCUCCUCUGGUAUAGAAUAACGAAUCUGACCAUCAACCACGUUAGCAACACACAGCAGGAAAAGCAGCAUUUGUAUUUUCCGUAGCAGUCCUUGAAAUACUCGCCAUCUUGCGCAUUUGUCGAAGAGAGAUCCUUCAACUGCCAUCAUAGCAACAAAGAAAAAAAGAGGCAAGUGUGUGUAUCCAGUGGAAAUGAUGGUGAAACUGGUUCCUUUAAAUCCUUGUCCUGGCAAAAUGUGAUCUCGUCUUCGAAUAUCACAUGAUAAUCUUUGAGACUGUGCUCUCCCCUACAACGUUUAAACCGCAUAAAACACAGAGAGCCUUUGGUAUCAGAGGGAGGAUGGACUGGAUGACGACACGACUUAAAUGUUUUGCUGACCAACAGCGUCCCUUAGAGUCUAGAAUGAGAAAUUCACGUGCAGCCAAGAGCGCGGUACUGUCAUUUAGACUGAAUAAAGAUUCCGUCGAUAUCCGGUGAUCAAUACUGAUAACCAAUAAUUGACCUUAAGGGUUUUAAAGACCAAAGUCCAAAUUAACAGUGAAUCAGCACGAUAAAUGCCAACAUUUUAAAACAAAUAAUCCAACUGAAUGGACAAUGCGAGAAAUCUGAACACCAAAAACACAUCUUCCAAGUUGCCAUGAUGCAAGUACAGUGCUGUAGUUAUACGACAACACAUUAAAAUGCUUUUAAGUGUAGUAUUUUUAUAUUUAAUAGGUGACUGCCAUUGCGGUUAGAAAACUAUGUUGUGUCUCACUUAUGAUGAAAAUAAAGAAUAAGAUGUGAAAGGCGAUAUGAAUAAAUAAUUUCUAACAAGAUUGAGAAGUGUUAUAAUCACUAUCAUCAAAAGCUCUAUUACUUUCACUUGCAUGUGAACUAUUACUCUUCUUAUCCUUUCCUCUUACCUUUAUUUUUGCAUGCUAUUCGUUAUCUGCUGCACUCUACCCUGUUUAUACAUGACAUUAUUUCCAAGGUAGUUUUCAUGGUUUAAAACUAAGUCCUUUUUUACUGAAGGAACCCUAUUUUGAUUCAUAUUAUAUCUGGCCUCUCAUUUGUUGCUAACACAAAUUAUUCAUGUCAGACUUAGCUUAUGAAGCUCAUAACAAUCAUAUAACAUUUACACUGACGUACUUUGGUAAUAAUCAUAAGUUAGCAAUGUACGUGUGAAGAUAAGGAAGCAGAGUUAAAUACGGAUUGAAGAACUUAUAUAUGAUCUUAACUCUCAGCUGCAACACCAGAAAAAUUCUUCCCUAACGUUUCAGAUUCCAGGGUCUCCAACCUAAUCAAAAAGCAUGAGCUGAUCAAACUUAAAAACGUAAAUACAAAAAAAAAGAUAGGAGAAAAUGUAUUUAAAAGGUUAUGACCUGACAAUAAACCAUGACGUCGAAAUAUUACCUCUUGAAUAUAGCAGCUUUCAGGGGCUGAAAAAAAAAUGACCGUGACCAACGGUCAGAGAGGGCGCUGUCCAUGGUGUUGGAUGUAAAGUUUAAGAUGUCAAUUGCAAUCAACCAAUCUAUAUGGAUGAAUAAAAAAAAGCGAAAUGUCAGGUUUUAAAUACCUCUAGUGGAGAGUCUGGUUCAUCCAGGAUGCUCUUCUCACUCUGUAUCCUCUGCAUGGUCCCUGUAGAACUGGGGUCCAUUAUCAGCACGUUCUGACUACCAGCUCUGCCGAACUUACAGUCACUCUUUCUCGAGUCAGUCGUCCUGCACACCUCGUAAUUGUACACGUGUGGAAGAGUCCCCGUGCCCAGAGUGUCUGAGUAACGUGGAGGAUAAUAGGGAAUCACUGGAAGACUGGAGUGAUACAGGAUACGAGACUGUCUCCAUCUGUAGAUUUUCACUGAUAUAAUGACCACCAAACACGUGAUGAAGAGGAAGGACACUACAGCCAAAGCCAGCACUAAGUAAAAAGUCAGGUUGUCAUUGUACUCCUUGUCGUGUGUAAAGUCAGUGAACUCUGACAGCACUUCAGGGAAGCUGUCCGCCACCGCCACGUUCACAAUGACUGUAGCUGAACGAGACGGCUGCCCGUUGUCCUCCACUAUCACAGUCAGUCUUUGUUUCACAGCAUCUUUAUCACUCACUUGGCGGAUAGUUCGGAUUUCUCCAUUCUGUAAGCCCACUUCAAACAGCGCCCUGUCUGUGGCUUUCUGCAGUUUAUACGACAGCCAGGCAUUCUGUCCAGAGUCCACGUCCACAGCCACCACUUUAGUCACCAGAUAGCCCACAUCUGCUGCACGAGGAACCAUCUCAGCAACCAGAGAGCCACCGGUCUGGACCGGGUACAGGACCUGAGGAGGGUUGUCGUUCUGGUCCUGGAUCAUUAUUUUCACUGUCACGUUGCUGCUGAGUGGAGGGGAGCCUCCAUCUUGAGCUUUGACUACCAGCUGAAGAUAUUUGAUUUGCUCAUAAUCAAGAGAACGAACUGCGCUGAGAACUCCAGUUUCAGAGUUUAAACUCACAUAAGUCGAGACUGGACUUCCACUGACCUGUGUAUCCUCUAAAAUAUACGAGAUUCUUGCAUUUUGGCCCCAAUCUGAGUCUCUCGCGCUGACAGUAAAUAUGGAUACUCCAGGUGGAUUAUUUUCUGUGAUGUAAGCAGAGUAAAUUGUUUUAUCAAAUAAUGGCGCGUUGUCAUUUACGUCAGAAAUCUUUAGGUGCAAUUUUGUGGAGGUGGAAAGAGGCGGAGAACCGAAAUCAGUGGCUGUUAUUGUGAUGUUAUAUUCUGAGACAGAUUCUCUAUCAAAAUGUUGAUCCGAGAUCAAAUUGUAAUAGUUUGUCAGAGAUGAGACGAUUUUGAAAGGCAGUUUUCCAUCGAUUGAACAUUUUAUUUGUCCAUUUUUAUCAGAAUCCGCAUCUUUUAUAUUUAAAAUAGCUAUUGUUGUACCAGGAGGAGCAUCUUCAGAUACAGGACUAGAAAAAGACAUAAUGUUGAUCACUGGAGCAUUGUCGUUAACAUCAAAAACAUCAAAUAUAACUUUACUUGUUCCUGUUAAUCCACCUUGAUCCCUAGCCUCCACCCUCACCUCAUAUUUUCUGUCUUUUUCAUAAUCUAGAGGACCAUUUACAGAUAUAGCGCCUGUUUUUUCAUCAAUGCUAAACAAAUCUUCCGCACUGCCUCUUGUAUUAGACAAACUAUAACUAAUGACUCCAUUUGAACCACUGUCAGCGUCUGUGGCGUUUACUGUUAUAAUUCUUGCACCCUUCAUUGUGUUUUC